This 2481-nucleotide long non-coding RNA is filed under the name Homo sapiens (human). Its description in RNAcentral is "HSALNT0014134". The record is from RNAcentral. Lineage: Eukaryota; Metazoa; Chordata; Mammalia; Primates; Hominidae.
GCCGAGGAGGGUGGAUCAUGAGGUCAGGAGUUCAAGACGGUGAAACUCCAUCUCUACUAAAAACACAAAAAUUAGCCAGGAGCUGUGGCAGGUGCCUGUAAUCCCAGCUACUCAGUAGGCUGAGGCAGGAGAAUCACUUGAACCCGGGAGGUGGAGGUUGCAGUGAGCUGAGAUCGCGCCACUGCACUCUAGCCUGGGCGACAGAGCAAGACUAAAAAUAAAAAUGAAAAAAUUAUUAUCCAUGGUAUUAUCAUGGUAGUACUGACUAAAAGAGGGACACGUGUAACAAAAUCAGUAAGGAGGGUACUCCAAGAAUCCAUGUUAAAGUUAAUGAGGGCUCGAACCCAAACAUAAAGGAUGGAAAUGAUGUAAUAAAAUACCUUUUGAAAGUUAUAUUUAAAAAUUUUUGGUGAAUAGUCUAGUUAGAGGUGAAAGAAGAAAGCAGAGGAGUCUAAUGCAAUGCGUGACUUGUAGCUCAGGUAAAGGGGUGGCAGGUGACGCUUAAAUACUAGAAAUAUAAGAAGCAGCACAGGUUUGGUUUUAUCUGUGAGAACAAUGGAGUGGAGGUAUGCUUUAGAUGCAAUUAUUUAUGGGAUAUUCAAAACAGAUAUCUAUGAAGCAAAAAACUUGGGCCCAAAAAACAAGUUUGAAGGUAUAUUUGGGAGUUACCAGUAAUAUAGGUAACUGUUGAAGCUCUAAAUAUAGAAGACAAACUAGAGGAGCUUGUUUCUUGAAGAAUUCUUGUCACACUUGACAUUUUUUACAGAGAUUUCUUAAAACAGGGGCAUAUCUUCUUUGGCUAACAUAUGCAGACUAAAAUGAAAGAGUAUAGUAUAUUAUAAAAUCAAUAAAAGGUAAGAUAAAUUGAGGCCUAAAAAUAAAGAAUAAAUACACUCAGUUGAUUCUGAAGCUCUAAUUUACAGAUGCAAAAUUGUACCAGUACAUUAACUCAUAUGUCAAAACAACAUCUAGAGAAACAAAAAAUGAAAGUAAAAUGGAAAAAGAUAAAAGAAGAGAGGCAAGGAGAAGAGAAUGGGCAAAAGGAGAUAGGAAAAACAGGAAUUUUUUUUUAAAGGGCUAAAAUUUUAGUGAAUCAGAUGUGGAAAACAGUUGGAUUAACAUUGAGAUCAAAUGAGAAAGGAGCAAAUAAGGAAAGAUGUAUUACAAACCAAGAGUAAAAAAGGGAAAACAAAAUAACAAAAGCAAAAACUAUUUAAAAAGAAUAAAGGAAGACGUGAUAAUGAAGUAAAUUUAAAAAGUACGGAAUAAUAAAAAGAAAUUGCAAAAAAUACCUUUUGAAAAUAAACAUACUAAUAACUUGACAAUAAAGUGAAAUGUGUAAGACAAACAUAUCUGUGUCAUUAUUUAGGAGUAGUGAAAAGUACUCUUAAAUAAUAAUUUGGUAUCUAGCAGGCCUGGAUUUGAAUCUACUUUAACUUGCUAGCUAUGUGACCUUGGGCAAGCAAAGAAACUCCUCAUAACCAUUGUAAUAAUACCACCAAAAUGCCUUACACUUACGGCUCAAAAAAUGAAGGAAAUGAGAGAAAAAAGUAUAGAUUACUAUAUGGAAGUCAAAUUUCUAGUGACUUUUCUAAUCCAAACAUGAAUUGUUACAGUACUUGAAAUAAACUUUAUGAGAACUGAGUGACUACAUUGCUUCAGAUAGUUUUAUACUGCUAGGUCAACGCUGCCUGACAGUAAUAAGAACAGGAUGUGGGAUUCAAUAUGCUCAUUCUAUCUCAAACUCUGUCACACAUACAAUGACUGCUAUUUACCUUCCUCCUGAGCCAUCUGGGAAAAAACCAACCAACCAAACAAACAAACAAAAGAAAAACCCACCAGGUAGGAGUCAGUUAGUUCUGCUAACUAACUAACCAAAAACCUUAAUUGUAUGGCCACCAGCACCCUAGCCCUUUGUCAUGAAAGCUACCAAUAAGGUGGAAAUUUAAAAUAUGAAAUAUUUCAUUAUACAUGUUUUAUUAAACCCUACAUGUGCAGAAAUGAUUGUCCAUUUUCCUUCUUAACUUGCUUUUGUAAGACUUAUUAAGUAGAAAAUAUAAAUCUCAAGCUCCUUAAAUGUGAUUUUGAGGAACUGAGACCAAAACAAUUUUUUGCUGUGGAACCAGAUCCUUGAAUGCACUACAGGAAAAUAUUAUUUGAUAUGAAAUUUUUUUGAAAAGGAAAAAAUCAUGGGUACUUUAAUUAGUUAAUAGAAACCACUGUAAAUGAGUUAUCUAUCUCCAGAACAUUCUCAGAGAAUUUACACGAACUAAAACAGGAAUGAAGUGCUCUCAGAGACUUUUUCUCAGGUAAAUGUAUUUAGUAGUUUGAGUAGUUGAUCUGCAGAAACUUUAACUUUAAUUAACUACAUAGAUGAAUAUUUUUUAUUUUGAAAUUUGAGAAUGUCCUAAGAGGAUGUCUACAGGAUAUGAAACUACUGGGUGCAGGAAAAUUUUUUAAGUGUUAGCAAAUUGUGGCAAG